Molecule: long non-coding RNA, 785 nt
Filed under: Dasypus novemcinctus (nine-banded armadillo)
Lineage: Eukaryota; Metazoa; Chordata; Mammalia; Cingulata; Dasypodidae
Description: lncRNA (ENSDNOG00000051069.1)
Source: RNAcentral
GAAAAAUAAAGCCCAGGACUGGAGUCUGGAGGGACCCUGGGUUUGAACUCAGCUCUCUGCCACUCCCCAUGAGCCUGACCAGGGCGCAGGGCGGGGGUCAGUCUCUGCCAGCCCUGCUUCCCACCCACAGAACGGGCGUCAGGGGGCCUCCCCGGCCGCGCGCGCGUCGGCGAGAAGCUCGGAUACGGCGGCUGUGUGCGCAAGCGCUGUACAAGGCGGUUCCUUGGGGGCUGGACCCAAACGCGAACCCCGGCUUCCAGGGCCCCUAACUUCUAGCGCCGCCCUCCUCUCCCCACUUCACAGAGAGAAGCUCUGCCCCCCUCGCGUUUUGCAGACUGGAAUUCCAGCUCCUUCAGGCAGAUUCUCCGGAACACUCCUGGCCAACGAGAGGUCAAGGUGGAAGGGCAGGAGAAGUCAACUCGCAGGUGGCCCAUCCCCAGAUGCCUCAGGCCCCCACGGUGGCCCACCAGUGCUCAGAGCUGACCAGGCCUGCCCAAGGCUGACCUGCCACAGGCCCCACGGUCGCCCCUCUGCCGGGCGGGUCAGGCCUUGAGCUGCUCUCCUCGUGGUUUCCGGUCCGCAGUAUUGGUUGGGGUCUCUAGGCCCCGCAGACAACCCUCCAGCUCCUCUUUCCACAUCUACACCUUUCCCAUGUCUCUGUUCUCUCUGUGCUCUGUCACCCCUGCAGAAAGAGACUUGAAAUACUAAUCUGAGUCAUGGUCAAAUAAAGUAAGUGUAUUUAUUACAUGUUAUCUCAUAUUUCUUUUCUUAAUCUACAAGUCUCA